AAUUUUUUACACAUUUAACCUUUUAAAAGUGUGUCAAAUACACACUACUUUUUUCUUUAUCAAUUUUUCAAAACAUGUGUGAUUUCACGCUCCAAUCAUAUAGUGAUACGCGUCACUAUUUUUUAUUUAAAAAAUAAAAUACUUAAAAUUACACCUAUACCCCUUAACCAUCUUAUCCAUUUCAUAUCUUUCUCUUCUCCAUGGGAGAUUGACGCCAAACACCACCAAAUAUCCACAUUUAAUCACCUUCAUAUUAUAAAGCAAAUUAGGAACUCAAGUACAUUAAUCAUGAUUUUGUGAGUCUAGAUUCAAAAUCUGACACAAGAAAUAUAAUGCAAAACUGAGAACUCCAUUAAAGUUGGUUAUCGACAAAUCCAUGGCUGCUCGAUUCGUGGUAUAGAUUCAAACCCAGAUUUAUAAAAUUCUCUUAAUAUAGAUUUCUUUUAACUUUCUUUACCAAUUUCUUCCAGAGCUAUUUUAUAUUAUUGUUAUUCUUAAAAUGGUGGACAUGGAAGAUGAGGAAAAUGGGUGGGGAAAAAGACAAAAAUGGAAAAAGGGGGAAGGGGGAAGGGCAGCAACGAACCGGUUCUUUGUUUUCUAUGGGAGAGGGAGGGAAGUUUUUUAUGGUGAGAUUUUGGAGAAACGAAAAUGGGAAAAGGGGGAAGGUCAUCAACAAUCUGGUUGUUUUUCUUCUAUGGGAGAGGGAGGAAAGUUUUCUAUGGCGAGAUUUGGAGAAAACAAAAAGGGAAUAAUUUCUCCAUUGUUGCAAGAGCUGGUUGUUUGUUGAAGCUCUUGACAAAAAAGAUGAUAUUUUUAAUUAAAAAAUAAAAAUGGAUAUGUGUCAGUUACACACGAGACUUUACAGAUUUCUUUUCCUAUUCACUCGCCUAAUUUGUGUGUAAAACACGCUCAUGCCAUGUAAUCAAAAUGGUGUGUAACUGACACACUUUUAAAAGGUUGAGUGUAUAAAAGGUUACCCGUGAUCAACAAGUGUGUAACAGGGAUUUUGGUACAAGUUCAGGUGCUAUUUUGUGUAUUCUGCCUUUUUUCUUUAAAUAAGAAAAUGAGUUAACCCAGAAUUAGGAAAACUUACGUAAAUGUCUCAAAUAAAUCUCAACUUAUCAACCUCUAGCUAUUAGUUAUAGACUUAUCAAAACUAGCCAAGCACAUAUAAAAAUUAAAAAACCAAAUAAAUAAGGUUCUUUCUCUCAAAGAAUCACAUGCAAAAAUCUCCUUUCAUAUUAGCAACAUUAGAUGCAAGAGGGAAAUGAAAUUUCAUGGAUGAGGUAGCAAAUAAGGUAAUGAAUCUUCCAUAUUUUUAAGCGUGAUUAGCAACAUUAGAUGCAAAAUGGAAAGGAAAUUUCAAGGAUGAAGUAGCAAACGGUGAUGAAAUCCAAAACUAAUUUUUUUUUAUGAAUUGGCCAAAAAUCUAAGCAAAAAAAUAAAUUUUUUCAAUGGAUAUAGUUGAAAUUCAUUAAAAACAUAUUGAUAAGUCAAUAUACAAAACUUGAGGAAGAUUGGAGGUGAUUUGAACUGGUUUUGUAUCAAAAUUCAUAAUUAAAUCAAGUUCAAAAAAUUCUUUUGCGACACAUGUAUCAUGCAUGUAUCUCAUAUACAUGUAUAUAUAGAUAUACACGUGAUACACAAUUGAUAUAAAUAUGAUAAAUAUGUGAUAUAAAAAUGCUACACAAUGUGAUACACAUAUCAUUUUUUAUGUUCAGUUUUUACUUCGAAUUUUCAAUUCAAACCACCUCAAAACCUCACCAAAUCAUCCAAAAACUGAGAUUCAAGCUCCUUAAACCCAAUCUAUUCUAAUAAGACCCAUUCAAAAGAAAGCAAAAAAUUUUAACCUCUUUUUCAUACAAAUAACUAAUUGGCUAAUAUUAGUAAUAUUUGAUAAAUAUUAGUAAUAUUUUAUGAAUUGGUCAAUUUUUAUAAUGAACCACUUAUAAAUAAACAUAACUGAUAGUUUCUCCCAAAAUUAAUCAGAUAUCUAACAAACUUUUUGUAAAAAAGCUUUACAAAAAAACUAUAAGCAAUCAAAUAAGUUGGAUAUAAAUGUAGAAUAGAUGAACACUAAAGUGGGGAGAGUAGGUGAAAGUGGAAUAAUUGAGCUUACACACCCACUAUCUAGAAUUUGUAUAGAGUCCUUACAAAGUAUUGAAAUAUAUACAUAGUCGUUGUUAGUUUAUUUAGUCAUCGACAACUUUGAGUGUUUAUUUAAUAAUUUAUAUGGUUGAUAGUAUACUUUGUAUGGGUCAGAACUCAACUCGUGAUAAUUAAUGAGAUUAAUUCUCUCAUAAGCAUAUUCGGGUUGAUUAAAGGAACAACCAUUCGUUAAUAAUAAGUGCUCAAAGAUCGCUCAGCCCAACCAACUAAGGCUACAACCUACUCGCUAUUGACGGACGUCUCCUCAACAUGGCCGCUUCUGCCUAAUGACAGCUGGCAAGAUUCACAGCUAUAAAUACUAAGAGAAGGAAUCCUAGAAAGGGGGAUGCUUCUUCUUUUUCACCUCCACUUCUAAAAGAAGAGAAUAUCAUUGUAAGGCUCUGAACCUCUCCAUGGAGAGGCAGACCAAAUCGAUUUCAUCAAUAAACGAUCUCUACCCUCCUCCCCUUAACCAAUAACUAUUGUCUCUUACGUUUUAUUCAUUUGGUCUUUUGGUUUAUUACGAUCUGCUAUGAUUGGCCCUAUAUUUAUUUUAAUUGAUUUAUGCUUCUAAAGUGUAUAAGAACUUUGAGCUAAACAAUUUGGUGCCGUCUGUGGGAAUUUCGUAGUAGAAUCACGUAGUUCAUCCCCAGACAAAAAAGAAAAGAAGACACCAAAAAGGGAGGCAACCCAGCUUGAAUGAGCCAAAGUAACACAGCGGGUGAAGGGAACCUAAUAGCUCCGGCAAGAGUCCAAAGCCUUAACCCCCCCCCCCCCCCCCNNNNNNNNNNNNNNNNNNNNNNNNNNNNNNNNNNNNNNNNNNNNNNNNNNNNNNNNNNNNNNNNNNNNNNNNNNNNNNNNNNNNNNNNNNNNNNNNNNNNNNNNNNNNNNGCCCUCACACGAUGCAUCGCCCCUCCCUACGGGGAGAACACGGGAGAGCGACCCUCACCCAUUCGAUACGAGACCCUGCGGAAAGUGGCAUGAAGGCAUCUUGAACCAAGAUCCAUAACAGAAUCAGGCGAAAACAGGUCAGGCGAAAAGGCAAAAGUUCAACUAUGAGUUGAACUAGGACUCAGGCUACGUGCUUUCGAUAAUAAAAUUACAAAGGUUCAACUACGGUUGAACAAAAACUUAGGCUACGUGCCCUCGCCUGAAAGUUCAACUAUUAAUUGAACUGGGACUCAGGCUACGUGCCUUCGACAACAAAAUUGCAAUGGUUUAACUACGAUUGCAAAAUAGCUCAGGCUACGUGCCAUCAAAUGAGUUGAACUGGGACUCAGACUACGUGCAUUCGACAACAAAAUUGCAAAGGUUCAACUACGGUUGAACAACAACUUAGGCUACGUGGCAUCGACCGAAAGUUCAACUAUGAGUUGAACUAGGACUCAGGCUAUGUGCCUUCGACAACAAAAUUGCGAAGGUUCAAUUGCGGUUGAACAACAGUUACGGCUACGUGCCAUAGCCCGAAAGUUCAACUAUGAGUUGAAUGGGACUCAGGCUACGUGCCUUCGACAACAAAAUUGCAAAGGUUCAACUACGAUUGAACAACAGCUCACGCUACGUGCCAUCGCCUGAAAGUUCAACUAUGAGUUGAACUGGGACUCAUGCUACGUGCCUUCGACAACAAAAUUAGAAAGAUUCAACUACGGUUGAACAACAACUCAGGCUACGUGCCCUCGCCCGAAAGUUCAACUAUGAGUUGAACUAGGACUCAGGCUACAUGCCUUCAACAACAAAAUUGCAAAGGCUCAACUACGGUUGAACAACAGCUCAGGCUACGUGCCCGCGCCCGAAAGUUCAACUAUGAGUUGAACUGGGACUCAGACUACGUGCCUUCGACAACAAAAAUUGCAAAGGUUCAACUGCGGUUGAACAACAGUUCAAGCUACGUGCCAUCGCCCAAAAGUUCAACUAUGACUUGAACUAGGACUCAGGCUAUGUGCCCUCGAUAACAAAAUUGCAAAGGUUCAACUACGGUUGAACAACAGCUCAGACUACGUGCCAUCGCCCAAAAGUUCAACUAUGAGUUGAACUGGGACUCAGGCUACGUGCCUUCGAUAACAAAAUUGCAAAGGUUCAACUACGGUUGAACAACAGCUCAGGCUACGCGCCAUCGCCCAAAUGUUCAACUAUGAAUUGAACUUGGACUCAGACUACGUUCCUUCGACGACAAAAUUACAAAGGUUCAACUAUGGUUGAACAACAGAUCAGGCUACGUGCCUUCGACAACAAAAUUGCAAAGGUUCAACUACGGUCGAACAACCACUCAGGCUACGUGCCCUCGCCCGAAAGUUUAACUAUUAGUUGAACUGGGACUCAAGCUACGUGCCUUCGACAACAAAAUUGCAAAGGUUAAGCUACGGUUGAACAGCAGCUGAGGCUACGUGCCAUUGCUCAAAAGUUCAUUUACGAGUUGAACUGGGACUCAGGCUACGUGCCUUCGGAAAUAAAAUUGCAAAGGUUUAACUAAGGUUGAACAACAGCUCAGGCUAUUUGCCCUCACCCAAAAGUUUAACUAUGAGUUGAACUUUCGGCUAUGUGCCUUCAAGAACAAAAUUGCAAAGGUUCAACUGUAGUUGAAAACAACAUUGACCACGCGAUCUCGCACAAAAAUUCAACUACUGAAUGAAUCGAGGCCCAGGCCAAGCGCCCUUACCAUUGGACGUUGCAAGACCUAUUCCCCUAUGAAUGAGGGGAUAAGUUAAGCACCCUCACCAAUCAAGUAAGUACGCUUAACUCGAACUAAGAUUCAAGCCGCGAUAAGUUCGGCCCCAGUAGAAUUACAAGUCCAUGGCCAACAAUUCAACCACGCCCGAACUGGGACUAUGGCUACAUGCCACCCUCGCCAAAUAACGGCUACAACUUACUCAUGCCAAGUAAAGGAAAAUAGUAAACAAAAAGCGGCCAAUCACUGCUAGGUCCAUCGACGCUAGCAGCCCACCUAGUUUUUGACUAAGGCAAGCAAACGACCUGACAAUAGUCAGAUUCAUCCAACUGACCAAGACCAUCAAUGUCAUCAUGGCCAAGGCCACCAAAGUUGUCAUGACUAAAGUCAAAGGGAGAUAAACACGUCCCCCUAGGAAACUCUAAAGGCGAAACCCCCAUUGAACGGGUGAAAAAGAAAACUAGAAAACANNNNNNNNNNNNNNNNNNNNNNNNNNNNNNNNNNNNNNNNNNNNNNNNNNNNNNNNNNNNNNNNNNNUAUAUAUAUAUAUAUAUAUAUUCACAUCCUUAUUUAUAACAGGUUGCCUGCAUUUACAUACAGCCAAGGCUGGCAAACAAAAAAAAGAAAAGAAAGCCAAACGGAAAUAAAAAAGAACAACAACAAAAUAGAAUAAUAGCUAACUCUAUAAAAACCCCUUUUACUCGGUGCCACCUGCGCCACCCUCACGGCUGCCCGCACUAUUAUCAACGCCUCAGUGCCAUCAUCGGUCACCGGAGUGGCCGGGUCGAAGAAGAGCUGGUUGUUUGUUGAAGCUCUUGACGCCAUCAUCGGUCACCGGAGUGGCCGGGUCGAAGACAUAGCCAAGACGAGCUUCACGAGUCUUUUGGCGGGUCCCCUCACAAACAGCAUCGGUCACGACGCCGGCCUGCCACAAUUUCUUAUAUACGUCAAGAUAGGCCUUAGCAAAAGACCAAAGAUCAUGAGCGGGGCCGUAAGAGGUAGCAUGGUCCCUCAUACGCUGAUACUCGACAUUAAAGGCCGCGAUCCAAUCUGGUGCAACUUGGGCAUCCCGUUCGUAAAUGCCAAUGCGUUCUUCCAGCCCCGUUACUCUGAAAGCCGCAGCAGACCUCUCCAGCUCCGGUUCCCUCUCGCGAAUGCGGACCACCACCUCCAAUGCCCCGGCCUUCGUCAAAACAGUCCUGGCCUGCCGCCUCAAAGCAGUGAGCUUCUCGUCCAGCCUGACUACCUGCCUAAUCAGGGAUUUAGAGGGCUCCGCCAAAGCCUCCUGACUCCGGCACUCCUUCUCAGCUGCAGCAUUUCUCUCGGCCUCCGCCUCCUUGUCCCUGCGACGGAGUUUCUCCUCAAGAGCACUAACCCUGCUCUGAGCUUGCUGCACUAGAAGCUCCCGCCUCGCCAACUCCUCAACCAACUCUCGGAUGCGAGGUUGUUCCUCAGAUGCUCGCACAUCAUGCGACACCUAUCCCCGUAGCGACGAUAAUUCUCCAACACCCGCAAAAAAAGUCCCGAGCGAACGUUGGACCAUUGCAUGCUCUCUACCUCCAGAAGAAAGGUUUGUUAGACAAAAGUAGUGAUGAAGUUAGGAAAAAAACCAAGGCAAGAAAAUAAACAAAAGAAGAUCUACCCUAAAACCCAUCACGGUUGCCUCGGUCAUCAAUCUGACAUCUGAGACUUCCCUCAGCGAUCUGCUCUCCUCCUCCGAGAAAAAUGGCGCAAACAUCGGUACCAGAUUGUCCUCUUCAAGCAGCAGACUUUGGUCGGUAGGAAUCUCGGCAUAACAAUACGGUCCCUCUACAUGCGUCAUCACGUUGGUGAAGCCUUCCUGGAGUGUGCGAACGUCAUUGAACUCCAGGUCGGAUUCAGAGUCUAACUCCCCUCCCACAAUGUCCCUUUCUUCCUCGACCGGUCGAGUGGUCGAAGCUUCUCCCCCCGCCAAUGGAUUAGCACUCGUUUCCCUAACCAAAGCAGCCUAGGAACAAACUUCCCUCUCAGCAGCUAGCCACCGAAGCGACGGUUUCAUUACGGCCUAAGCCGGCCGGGGCAACCCCAAUUGUGUUUUCGCCUUCAAGGGUAGGCGCAGCUGCCUCCUUCCCAUCAACAUUCGAUGACGGAGAGUCCAAACAUACCACCUCUGCAGUAGGCGUAUAGGCAACCCUUCGCCUAACCAACAAUCUCUCCUCCUCCUCCUUCUCCUCCUCGUGCAACGAUGGUUUUGCCAUGGGGCAAAAUACCCCCAAAGAUGCCUCAACCCGAGUUGUAGACCGUGUUGGGGAAUGGGCUGCCGACGACUCAGCUAAAGUCUACCUUAGAGCUGGGCGUGGUGUUGGUGCCAUAGCCAGCUGAGUGUCGCACCCAGCCUACGGAAAGCAAGCUGAGGAGCCCUCACACGAUGCAUCGCCCGUGAUCAGCAAAAGAAAUAAAUUAAAAGGAAAGAAACUCAGCACGAUCAAACAAAAGAAAUGAAAUAACUCAAACACUCACCCGCAGCGAGCCUACGGCCAUGCCUUUACCAGACGGCCGGCCAUGUGCGAAUUCCCGUUGUCUGAGGAUGUAUGGCCUCGACCUAUUCACUAAUGCCGGACAGAGGAGCCGGUGGUGCCCUCUCGGCUGCAAACACAAGAUAAAGUCAAUACCCCUCAGAGUAAAGAACAAAAAGAACACACGGAAGACAGGACCCGACGGGCAUAGAACUCACGUAUAUGGUUCCAAGUCUCUGGGAAUUCCCAGAAAUUCCCCACUAAAUGCUCGGUCCUGACGUAGAAAAAGUUCUCGUAAGAAUAAGAGUCGAACGUAUCGUCUAGCUCAGUAGUCAAACCCAGACCCCACAAGGGACCAUUCGAAUCAUGGUACCACGGACCCUAUGAGGGGCAUACAGAGUCAUCACGUGCCACAUCGUUAUUUCCCUGCGCGCCAAUUCCACAUACUUGGCAAGCAUGGCGUAGAGCUUGUAAAAAGGAGGGGACGAGUUUCCCAAGGCACACUUCAUAUUAACAGCCCAAAUCUGCUACCAGAGCCGGAAGGGGAUGCUUUAACCCUAGUCUGAAAGGGUAAGCGUGAAAAUGUAAUAUCCGUGGCGGCCGAUAUGAACCCUCUCCUCGCUCCUGGCAAGGGAAAUGUCAGCAGAACGAGGAAUACCCCACUGCUCCCUUAAUUGGGCAAGGACCAUCUCACCCAUUAGUGGGGCCUCAUUAACGUGGUCCUCCCCCUCAUCGUCAGUGAAGUCGGUCACCGGACCUCUGAGCAGAAAAAGGAUAUCGACUGCCGAUGGGAUCCUAUCGGCCUUCGCCGACUCUGUGUCAAUCGCCACCAUAGAAUACCCAUCGACUGCCAGAAGAGUCACCGGAGAAAGCUCUGUGUAAGAACUACUUGCCCUUGCUGAUUACUGGAAAAUGAGUGAACGAGGUUCACCUAAAAAGGAGUAAAAAAUGGAGAUUGGGCAAAAGAAGACGAAGAACAACACGAGAUGAUGAAGAAAAAGAGUAAGAGAAGUUGCUUCUUUAGAAAUCUUACUUAGACAGAUACUGAAAAGUGAGAAACUGAUAACAUAAUUCAUUAUUUAUACUGGAAAAAUGGCUUUCACGAAUUCCGAAAGCCACAAUUAACUGCGCAACCAACCAUAAAACGGUUCGAAUGUAUGGAAACGGGUGUCAUAAUGACAAGUAAAUUCAGCAAUCCCGGUACGUGGGGGGAACGCCCAGUGUGCCUUCCUACACCGAGAACUAUUGCAGUGUACGUCCAGUGCACCCAUAACCGCCGAAGCCGCCUGCGGGAAUACAUUGUCUCGAGUUAAAACAUCCUACGACCAUCUUCCUAAAAAUUAUAAAUGAAGGGCUACGACUAUCUUCCUAAACAGUAUAAAUGGGUACGACCAUCCCACCAAAACUACCAAGGGCUAUAACUAUCCCCAAUCCCUAAAUGUAAAAUGAUUACGACCACUCUUCAGGUGCGUUGAUGGUAACAGCCGUCUCAUAAAUAUAAGCGACCACGUACGUCUUCAAGGUAAAAAACGACUGCGACUGUUCUUGUCACACCUCCGUUUUCCGCACCGCAAGGGCGCAAGGGAGUUCUUCCAAUUAAAGGACAAUCGAAAUAGGAUUAUUUAUUAAAGAUUCAGAGUCGCCACUUGGGAAAUAUAUAGUGUCCCAAGUCACCGGUUAAAUCCCAAAUCGAGGAAAAGAAUGACUCUAUUAAACAGUCCGCGCACCAGAAAUCCGGAUAAGGAAUUCUGUUAACCCGGGAGAAGGUGUUAGGCACUCCCGAGUUCCGUGGUUCUAGUACAGUCGCUCAACUGUCAUAUUCAGCUUAAUUAUCUGACUUUUACAAUUAUAUACUUAGUACAAUUCAUGAUUCUUUUAACCGCUUUAUUAUUAUUAUUAUUAUUUACAUAGAAUUGCAACAUUAUGAAAAUAUAUCUCGGACCACGUCACAGCCAGUGUACUCGUGGUCGUUGACACAUUUUGACUCUGUCGAUAUUUAGAUUUAGGUCGCAUAAAUGCGCACCCGAGUGUAGGAAGGCAAGAUUAAUUAAGGUGCGUCCUAAAGAGAGUCUAGCGAGUUGUAAUCUUUUGGGAGGAGGCCAUGGAAUUUGUUAAAUGGCCUAAUCCGAAGUCUAUCCGCUUAUUGAUCCUUUUAAUUGAGCACAUCACAAUUUUAUAAUCUUUUUUGGCGAGGCUCGCCCAUUUCAUUUUUAAAGGAUAUCCUAAAGCGACUAUUACUUUUUAUUUAUUUGAGUCUCCAAAGAAAAACGAAAAUCCUAUAUUAUUUACAAGUUAGUAUUAUUAGCCUAAGUUAUAAGCAUGGUAUUAAUUCCGAAAAAAUGAGUACGGGGAAGGAAGGAAUUGUUAACAGCUUGGCCCAACGUGCAUAGGUCAAAACUGGAGCCCGGGCCAUCUCGUUUUUAUCCUGGAGGCCUAGUUAUAUUAUCUACAUGUGUUUGAUAUUAACAAAUGAAGGCAGGAAUGAAAAGGUUGUCUUAAAUAUACAAGUUUUUGCCAAUUGGCUAUGCUAUUUGCCCAUUGAUCACCUACAAUCUGUUCAUGCUUCUACAUAACAUAGGCAGGAAAUGACGAGAACAUGAACUACUGUAUCACUAUCGUUUUAAAACACUAGCAUACGAGGAAAGAGUUUAACAUUUAUACUAUUACAGAUUAGUAUUCAGCUUUACAUGACAAUUAAUGACAUGAACCUAGUGAACUAACAACUAACAUAUAUAUACAACAUCAUAAGGUAUGAAUACAGCUACAAGACUUCAAGCUUUAAGGCUUCAUUUUUUAUUCAUGCUUCAAACUUUCAGCUACAUUGUGUACCAGUGUAGUUUGUGUACCUGGUAUUUAUGAUUCAAAGGAAGGAAGGAAGGAUCCGUAGUGAACAGGCAGUAACAAACACAUCACAACAACAGGUUCAGCAACAGAGAUUUCCAGCAAUAAUAGCAAUAAACCAGUGGCAAUAGAAGACCCAGGAAGGAUUUGAAAUCAAGCAGGACACUUUAAGAAACCAACAACAAUUCCAGAAAGUCCAAACAGCAACACCAAAUGUAUGACAAUAAUACCAGAAAGACAAUAGAGGUGAACCAGUACUCAAACCCAAAAAAUAUGGUCUGGUAGCAGAUGGAUAAUACGUAACACACUCAAGAACAACCACAAGCAACUUCAAGGAGCUAAAUAGCAAUACCAAAUGAACUCUAGUAAUACUAUAUGCACUCAACACCAAAACAAGAGGACCAUUUACAAGAGAAGCAAUGCUUCUGAUUCUGAAAACUCCAGGAAAAGCAAGUCAGCUUAAGUUUUAAAUAAAGACCAGCCUUAAACUCUCUCCGGAUUCAAAGAAGCCGACAGAAAAAUGCUCUCCGACUGACCCCUUUCUUUCAAAGAAAAUCCCCCCUUUUAUUCCAUUCUCUCCUCUCAAACACAUUUUCCUUUUCCGGAUUUUAAGCCUUAGUGGAUAGGUAAUCAUACCUGAAUUUGUCCAUUUAAAACAAAAGUAGUCUUCCACUAAUAGUUGUCUAUUAACUUUCCAAUCCCACUUAGAAAUGUCCUCUGUUGUUCAUUAGUGCCCUACUUAUUACUUAGUGGCCCACUAAUCCCACUAGUUCAAAUUAAAGUUGUUAAGGACCUACAGGAUAGACCAAACAGCCAAUCUAAAUUUCCUUAUUUUCUAUUUUUAAAACACCCCUGGAUCCUACUGGCUGCCACUGUUCUGAUUUAGAACAUCAGAAGACAAAACUAUACCUCUAAUUUUUGAUAUUAUCUUCUAAUUAACAGCUAUAGCCAAUCUUUAAUAAAGAAAUCACAGAACUGAAUCUAUAAUUAACAUUUAAACAUAAAACCAUCUAGUACUGAACAAAAAUGAAUUGAAACUAAUAAGCUCAGUUUUUCAACUUGGGUACCAACAGGCUCAAUCCAAUAACAACAUUAGAAAAGAAACAGGCUAAGCAAAACUACUGAACUUGAACAAUAAUUGCCUAUUAUCAAGUAAUUUUAUCAUUCAACCAUGAAAGACUAACUGACAAAUUUAUUUAAAUGAUUAUGUAGUUUAUAACAUAGAUGCAAUUAACAACAGACCAACAGAAUUAAAACAAACUAACAAGGUGAUUUCAGUUAACUUUAAUCAACCACAUAAACAACAAACACAGGAUAUGCAAACAUGUCGACUCCUGGCUUUGGGGUAAAACAAUGGACCAAAUAUGAACUAAUUACUGGAUGAUAAACACACAGUUCAUCAAACAAGCAGAAAGAAUCAACCAAAUAAAAGGUCUACUGAAGAUGGACAGAAUUGAAAGAAGAAUGAUAGAAAAAUCAAACACACUAAACUAAUCUGUAAACAAACACAAAAUAAAACACAAAUAAGAACCAGGUUAGCAGAACUAAUGAAUAGAGGCAUAUGCACAAGAGAAAGCAUACUGGCAAUUUAGCACUUGAAGCUACUAUUCAUGUUCUUCUAAAUUCUUUCAGUUUUCAAGUGAAUUCAGUUGACGACCUAUAAUUAAACGAUUAUAUGAAUAAUAUCAUAUGGCAAAACAAUCAAUUAACAGGGUGUAACAGGCAUGUUCUGGAUUUCAAUGGUUUAUCAGGGAACAUAAGAAUGAACUAAAUUAUUCUACGACUAAACACAUAACAAACAAUAACAGCAAAUAACAAAAAAAAUGAAUAGAAGAAAAGGACCAAACUAAAGGGUCUAUGGAGAUGAACAGAAUUGAAAGAAGAAAAUAAUAUAAGAAUCAAACAAAUCAGACCAGUCAUGCAAACAACAAAAAUAUAUGCAAAUAAGGAAAGAAGGAAAAAGAAGUACUUAUCUCUUAAAGCUCAAGAACAAACGACCCCAGGUCUCCAUGGACUCGACCAUUUUAAGUCGAACGGACCUUAAUCGGGGUGUUCUCAGUUGAUAACACCUAGAUUAAGGUCAACUAGACCUCAACCUCCCAUCGAUUUGAACAGAUUCCAUAGCUUUGGAAUUCUAGGGUUCAUGCGUUUGAUUUAGGGUUCGAACGUCUCCGGAUUCGAAGGAUUGGUUUGGAUAUUCGUGUUGGGCGUGGAAAGGGGGUUUAGUAGCAUAAAUAUGGUGACCGGCGGUGUAUUUGCCGCUGGGUUUCUGGUGUAAAGCGUUCAAGGGCUGCUAGGGUUUCAGGGGGUUUGUCUCUGAUGGUUUGAGAGAGAUGAAGAGGAAGAGGGUGGGGUGGCUUAUGGGGGGGUGCGGGGUGAGAGAAUGAGCUUAUAUACAAAGUGGGAGAAAUGAUCUUGGCCAUUAGAUCAUUCAAGAUCAAUGGCUAGGAUCACAAGGAUUAACCAAUACGGCGUCGUUUGGUUUAAGUGAGGGUGUUUGUGGGGAACGGGUAAUGAGUCGGGUUAGGAAAUGGGUAGGAGAGGGUUAAUCUUGAACGUUGGAUUAAAAGAGAUCAAUGGUUUGGAUUAAUUGGCCAUAUACGACGUCGUUUGGAUCAAAUCGGGAGACGGACUGGACCGUAAGAUCGAAUGAGAUCAACGGCCUAGAUCCGAGGUUCAGAAGACGCUGUUUCUCUUGUCUCAGUGAUCAGGUGAAAUGGACUGGGUCAUUACAUAAUUUGGGCCUAAUUUUUGGUUUUCAAAAUUCGGCCCAAUCCGAUUUGGCUCAAAUUUUUGCACUCUUUUUUUUCCUUCUUUAUAAUUAAAUAAAAUUCCUAAUUAAUUUGUAAAAAUAAAAAAAUAACACUACAAAAAUAUUAAUUAAUACUGAACAACAAUAAACACACACAUUUAAUUAAAAUAAAAUCACAUAAUGACAACAAAUAGAAUAAAAAUACAUAUUUUUGUGGUUUUCACUUUUAAAAAUCAAAUUAUGGUUUAAUUAAUUCCUAAAUGCACAAUUAAAUCCUAAACAUGCAUGAAACAUAUAUGUUUUAUAUUUUUUGGUUAACUACAACUAAUUAAAAUUGUACCCGAAGGUAACUUGUUUUUAUUUUGAUUUCUUUUGGAAUAGUUUCCUUGAAGAAAAAAUCACGUGCUCACAGCUACCCCUCUUUAUCCGAAAGCACAAAGAGCUUUGUGUUUUUGUGCAAAGAUAAAGUGAGCGGAUACGAGCGAUUUUUGCCCGUUGGAAUACUCCGUGUGAAGCAUUUUUUGAAACGGAUUUAACCGAACCUUUGCUUCAAAGGUUUCCUACAUAUCCUUAGCUAAAAGGGAAUUAGGUCAACGUAGUUCAAGAAGUUUCAGUAGCUGGGACUACCGUGGAACUGCGGUUUUUCUAUUACUACUGCUGUAUGCUGUUACCACUGCUUUACUGAUGUCCUUCUUACGCCGUUUCAAAAGGGAAAAAGAAAAAGCUAGGUUAGCCUACGGAUCACAAGAUCCUAUCUAUCUUCCAAUUGUUUUUGAUGGCCUUGCAUUCUUGUCAUCUUGGGUUUCUUCCGGUGCUUCUUUCUUCCGAGAGCUUGGGGAUGAUGCUGACCUUUUGCCUGUCUCAACACUAGUUUUCAUUGAUAUUUGCUUGGUCUGCUGGGGAUAUGGCUUCCUUCAUUACGUUUUUUGGCAAUUCCACUGGGGAUGUUUUCCCUCUAUAUUGGCGAUUCCACUGGAGCUACGGCUUUCUUCAUCAGCAUUUGUUAUGCUGGGGCUUUUGUUGUAACCUUCUGCCUUUCGGGGGGUUACCGAUUUCAAAUCAUAAUUGCAAAGCUAUAUGACUGGAGUUAUAUGCGAUGUGGUUAUAUGAGAUGUAGAUUCAAAGUGACACGUAGUCACAUGAGAUGCAGAUGCAAGAUGGCGCAUAGUCAUAUGAGAUGGAGAUGCAAAGUGACACGUAGUCGCAUGAGAUGUAUAUGAGAUGUAGAUGCAAAGUGACACGUAGUUACAUGAGAUGUUGAUGCAAGACGAUGCGUAGUCAUAUGAGAUGUAGAUGCAAAGUGACACGUAGUCACAUGAAAUGUGGAUGCUAAGUGAUGCGUAGUCACAUGAGAUGUAAAUGCAAAAUGACACGUAGUCAUAUCAGAUGUAGAUGCAAAGUGACGCGUAGUCACAUGAGAUGUAGAUACAAGAUGACUCGUAGUCAUAUGAGAUGCAGAUGCAAAGCUGCUAUGACACGUAGUCACAUGAGAUGUAGUAUGCAAUGUUAUACGACACGUAGUCAUAUGAGAUGAAGUCAUAACUUGAAUUCGGUUCCCCCCUUAGUACGCCCUUCUGCCAUUAUCAGCGUUUCUGCUUCAAAUCAAAGAAAACCUUAUUAGUUCAAAACAUGGUGAGUGGUUGUGCCACUCCUGUCGGGGAUUCUCUUGGGAUUUGGUCCACGUUUUCCCAACUGUUGCCUUUCCAGCCUUUCCCAUACUUCUCAUGAUAUUCUAGACCCAUCCGGUGGAGUGAAUUGGUCACUUUGGUAAAUCAAACCUAACCAACUCCACACCAAUUUCAAACAAGGCCGUUUUAUUUAAGAGGGUCUUGCAACAACGCUCUUUCAAUUUGUUGCCUUGUCUUCCGCUUGCCUUGUUCGUAUUCUGCCUUGUACCAUUUGGAAACUGGUAGCAAGCCCUGACAAACCUUUCUAAAAAAUGAACUGCUGGGGGAAAGUUAAAAUAAAUGAUAGAAAAAGGGAGAAAAUCUUUCUGAACGAACGCUGGGAAAAAGAAAAGAAAAGAAAAGACUUAUUUGGGUGGUGUACUGGCCCUGAUGAUCAUGUCAUAUAUUCUGGAAUAAUCGAUCCAGUCUAUUGGUAUUAAUCAAUUUCUGAUGGCUUCCUUUACUGGGGAAAAACAGGUGCCCAACGUUUGCCCAAAUGCAGAUCCUUUCCGCCAAUAUUAUCUUGUCGCCUCAUAGUGCCCUUCGAGGGGUUUUCACUAAUAAGACUCUCUCAUUUCUCUCGGCUCUCGUCGCCUUAUGGUGCUUGUGAAGAUUUUCACCGAUAAGACGCUCUCAUUUUAUUUUCUCAGCUGGGAAUGGGGGUGCUACCAAUAAGAUUCUCUCUACUGUGGAAUUCUUUGGAUAUCAACUCUACCGAGGAUUCCUUUGGCUAGCAAUCGUGCUAGGGAUUCCUGCUAGCAAUUGUGCUGGGGGUUCCUGCUAGCAGUUCCCUCAGCUCAUGAUCUUUCCUCGUCCAGGGAUCAGUGUUUUAUUCCUGGCUUCCACUUGCCUGACUCAGUAUCUUUCGGAUAUCGAUCGGGAGGUCUUUUUUGGUUAUAACAUGUGGGUUUUGUGGGCUUGGAAGAAAAAGGGGUAUCAAAAAUUCAAAGUGACUUCGAUGGGUGAGAGACUACAACCCUUGGAAUCAAAAUUUUUCUAACAACUUAACUUCUGCUUGGGGAUUUUUGAUUUUUCACGACAUUUCGUCACACUAUGACCGAGCCGUGAGGCGCCUAUGUAUCCUUUUUUGAGGAAUCAGGUCAAACAUAGUUCCCACAUAUUUGUUUUCUUUUUUUUCUUUUUUUCAAUUUUUUAUUUUUAUUUAUUUUUAUUUUUUAUUAUUAUUUUUUUAACGAUUCCAAGAGAGGGCUAUGAAAGAACAAAUACGGCUCAAAGGGGGAAACAAAGGUUGACAAUGUUUAGGUAGAAGAAAAAUUGCCUCCGUCAUUUCGUUAUCCGAUGAACACCAAGUACAAUAAAACAAAAUAAUGAUAAAUACAAUCAAGGAAUUUACACAUAGUAUCUCUUGACUGCGUGAGAAUUGAUAGCCAUGUCAAUGCAUCUUCCUUCAACAUCCGUCAAGCAAAUGGUCCUUGCUAGUUUGGGGCGAACUUUGCCCUUUGCCUCGACCUGAUGCGGGAGAAUCCAUUUCAAUACCCGCUGCCUUACUUCCAAUUUCCUGAUGUGGGAGAAUCCGUUUGAAUAUGGAUGCUGAUUUUUGUUUCCCUCACAUUGUCGGCAUUCCUCUAAUUGCCAGCUUCAGUGUCAUCCAAGUUGGGCUUGGGUUUUUCUUCGUAUUGGCUUAGUUCCCCGUUUACCUCUUUAAAGACUCCAUCCUCAUCAUAUCCCGAUUCACUAUCACAUUCGAUCUCUUGUAUAAUUAACUCGGAAUUGGAUUGAUCAUUUAGACUGGGCCGAAGAUCCGUCAUGCAUGCCAUGUCAUCAGGUCCAGUGAAAUAGAACCGUUCAAAAAUCAAAAGAAGAAGAAACAACAUUAAACAAAACAAGCAUAGAAAACUUUUAUUUUAAUAAAACAAGGGAUACCAGGGUUCACACUUUUGCUAAAAAACAAAAUUUGGAUUACACCCUGGAAUAAUCCAGAAAACGAGAAAGAUAAAUCAAGGCCUACUACUAAGACUCCCUCCGGGUAGGGAAAGGAGUUGUUGUCUGGUUCUUAAGGUUGUCCCUAGGCCCGCAAACUGCAUAUCAGCCCUGCUGGAACCCUCUCCAGCUUCUAAUACAUUGACGUCGGCGAUCAUCUUUGGCUCCCCCCUUUGUGCACCAGCUCGAUCAUAUGGGUUUCAUGAUGUGCGGGCAAUCGGUUCUGGUUAACGUUUGGUGCCUCCGGCGCCUAAACCUUAGUUUUCUUGGCGUCGAUAAGAUCUUGUAUCGCCUGCUUCAGCUUUCAACAUUUUUCAGUAUCAUGCCCAAGCAUUCCUGAAUAGUAUUCGCAUCUUAGCGAUUGGUCCACAUUUAGGGGUGGGGGAUUUGGAAACCUAUUCUCUAUAGGACUCAACAAACCCAACUGCUUUAACUUGUCAAAUAAAGCGGUAUAGGUGUCUCCCAACUCGGUAUAGGUUCUUUUGUUUUGUGUUCUUUCAUUUCUGUAUGUCGAAUUUUCCCGGAAACCUGCCCCUGGAGGGUUCCUGUUGGCUCUGGGUGGUGGAUAGGUGUUUUGUGGAGGCGGGUAUACGUUUUGUGGAGGUGUAUAUGUGUUUUGGGGAACCGACGUGCGCCGUUGUGGAUGAGCCGGGGUUGAUUGUAGGUUUGGGCUCGGUAUACGGCGAAGUGUGGUUCUUGUGGUGGAUAGUGGUAUUGUGGUGGGCUAUAUGGGGAAUGUGGAUAAUUUUGUUAGUGGGGACUAGGUUGGUCGUAGUAGUGCUGGCCGGAUCUAGACCAAUCGCUAGCUUUGACCGUGGCCACUUCUUCUCUCCUUUCUUCCCAAGCACACCUCCCGUGCCGCUUUGAAUAGCCUGAGGCAUUGCCCUAAGCGUUGCGUAGUUCAGGAUUUUAUCAGACUUAAGUCCCUCCUCUAUCAUAACCCCUAUCUUUACUACUUCAUUGAAGGAUUUUCCAACCGUCGUCACCAGGUGAUCAAAGUAAGUUGGAUCCAGUGUUUGCAGGAAGUAGUCCACCAUUUCCCACUCUCCCAUGGGAGGAUCAACCCUGGCUUCCUGUUCUCUCCAGAGGAACCCGAAUUCACGGAAGCUUUCUCUAGGAUUAUUCCCAGUCCUUAGUAAUGUGAGACGGUCAGGGACUAUCUCGAGAUUGUAUUGGAAGUGACAUGCGAAAGCCUGUGCUAGAUCAUCCUAGUUGUACCACCUGUUGGGAUCCUGUCUGGUAUACCAUUCCUGUGCCGAUCCACUUAAGCUUUGGCCAAAGUAAGCUAUCAGUAGCUCAUCUUUGCUGCCCGCUCCCCUCAUUUUGCAACAGAAUCCCUGUAAAUGUGCCAUAGGGUCGCCAUGCCCUUUAUAUAGAUCGAACUUGGGCAUCUUGAACCCUAACGACAACUGGACGUUAGGAAAAGGGCAUAAAUACUUGUAGGCUACACUGACUUGGUUGACUAAUCCAUGCAUGUUCCUGAAGGUUUGCUCCAGGCUUCUAACUUUCCUCAUUACCUCGUCCUGUUCUGGAUUCCUGGCUGGCUUUUCAUUCUCCGCUGGGAUCUCAAAUUUGGGAUUUUGGGUAUGUGUUUUAAAUGCGGGUUCUGGGGGAUAAUAUUGUGCCUCGUGAGCUUGAAACAAUGGCUAACUAAUAGAUCUUUGCUGUGUGGCUGGUGGGGGUCCCAUGAAAACGGACACAUUUGGAGGUGGCUGUUUCAGGUUGGGUGGUGGAGCUUGGGAGUGAUAGAGGUUUCUUCCCUGGAAGUAGUGUGACUCGGAAAGCCUGUUGACGGGCCAGGGUGAGGGCAUUCUGGCGUGUGCCCAGGUGGAGGAGUACGACUAAUGGACGAUUCAGGCCCCUUUUGCACAUUAGCCAAGGCCAACUUCAUUGCAUUCAUCUCCAACCCCAUUUUCUCUAUCUUUUCCAAGGCUUCUUUUUAGCAACUGUACCUCGGGCCUCUCUUCCUCAACAUUGUUCUCAGAAUUGGUCAUGCUUUUGGGUAUAAGCCCUUUAGAUCUUGUCUGAUAAUGGUAUGGUACCAGUACGCUCUAACAAAAUGACUGAUAGAAUUUGGAAAGAUAACAAACUUGUCAGCGUCACAGUUUUAACAGAUAUUGCACGUUGGGGAUGCAAUGCCCUUAGGCAGUUAACCAUUUCUAAUAUGAUUUCGCUCCAACUGUAUGCGUCAUCCGGCUUAUUUAUGAUUCCCUCUUUUUCUUUUUUUCCUUUUUUUAAUAAAAGACCCGGCAUUGCAAACACGGCCUUUCAGCACAUCGGGAACGAAGAUUUUAAGUCUGCGUUAGCUAACCGACCAAAAUCCCAAAAUAAUGAUUAAAGGUGGCUGUUAAUGCAAAGUCAGCCUUCCGACGUCCCUUUCGGGAACAUUCGUCUAUUUACGGCAAAAACAACAUCACUGACUAAUUUCGGACUCUUUUUUAUCAAAGAUAGAAAACCAGAUAUUUGCAAACACGGCCUUUCGGCGUCUCGGGGACGAAGAUUCUAAGGCUGUGUGGGUCAAUUGACCAAAAAUCUAAAAAAUGACCAAAGGUGGCCAUUUAUGCAAAGUCAGCCUUCCGGCGUCCCUUUCGGGAACAUUCGGCUAUUUUUUAUGUAAACAACAUCACAUCACUUCCUUAUGACGAAAAUUAAAAUUUUGAUAUUUUUUUUCUUUGUGUGGCUAUUUUAGCAAAAUGGGGGGUUGGACCCGAUGAGGGUUGCCUACAUAUCUCACAUCCGGUGUGAAUCAAACCAGCGUAGUUCGGGCAAUUACAUGAACUAUUUUAAAAACAACUCUUUUUUUUCAUUUUCAUUUUAUGGUAUUUCAAAAGCAAAUACUAUUUUUUUAAAAAUAAGACUCUUUUUCAUUUUUAUUUUUGGCAUUUCAUAAGCAAAUAACAAAACUACUUUCUAAAGCACGACUCUUUUUCAUUUUCAUUUUUCAUGGCAAAACAAACUAUUUUCCUUUUUUUUGAAAACAGGACAAAAUAAUGACUCUUUUUUCAUUUUUAACAAAACUAAAACAGCCUAUUUUUCCCAAACUAAAAACAAAUACACUUUUUUCUUUUUCAACAAUUAAUAAAUCAACCUAUUUUUCAAGCUAAAAAUAAAGAAUCUUUUUCUUUUUCAAUAAAACAACCUAUUUUCUUUUCCGUUGGCAAAUACACUAUUCUGAAAACAAGAAGACCUAAAAUAAAGACUCUUUCAUUUUCAUUUUUCUGGGCAAAACAGACUAUUUUUCCUUUUCUAUUUUUGAAAACAAGAGAGAAUAACGACUUUUUUUCUAUUUUUCCUUUGCUUUUUGGUAAAACUAAUAAAACAUUUUUUUUCAUUUUCUCAAAAUUUCGACAAAGUUUCGACGACAUUUGGAAAUUGAUUUUCUAAAAAAAAAUUAAUUAACACUCUACACUGCUAAUUUUUCUCUUUUUUUCUUCAAAUUUUCCGUGCAUUCAAAGCCGGUCAGCAUGCAUGUUUGAAGCAAAUAAAUGCAUAAAGCAAACAGGAUACAACAUGAUGGUCUUUUUACUUCAGGUUGCUUGUCCUAGACGGACCCAACCCAUGUGUUGAGUCCCCUAAGUCGAAUGCACAUGAUACAAAUAAACGUUCCUACUAGGGAUCCGACAUGAAGUUUUGUUAUACUAGGUUCAAACCUGAGUUUUUUGUUCUAGACCUGGCUUACCCGAGCGGACAACUCGAGCCGAGAAUGGGAAUGCGUGCCGGUAACCAAAAGAUCCUCCGGUUUAGCAAUUCCUCCAAAUCCUCGUUCUAAAUUGGGAUAAUGACACUAACAGAAAGAAGUCACGACCAGCGUGCACUCCUCGGGAGGGAGAAGAGAAGCGUUUCGGCACAGUUUAUAUAUAGUCCACAUAAUAUCAAAGCGGUAAAGAAUAAUCAUUUUGCACAUUAAGCACAUAUCACAUGGAAAUAUCAGAUAAUAAAAUAAAGCCAAAAAUACAACAAUUUCUGAGAUCGAAUUCUAACCCUGAACCAGUGGUUCUGGGCAUAUUCCCCAGCAGAGUCGCUAGAGAUGUUGCACCUCCUUUUUCCGCGCCCGCGGGACGCAAGGAGUUUUUCUGAAUUCUAACCCUGACCUAGUGGUACUGGGUCUUAUCCCCAGCAGAGUCGCUAGAGCUGUCGCACCUUCUUUUUCUACACCGCGAGGGUGCAAGGGAGUUUUUCCAAUUAAAGGAUAAUCGAAACGGGAUUAUUUAUUGAAGAUUCAGAGUCACCACUUGGAAAAUUUAUGGCGUCCCAAGUCACCGGUUAAAUCUCAAAUCUAGGAAAACAAUGACUCUAUUUAACAGUCUGCGCACUAGAAAUCCGGAUAAGGAAUUAUGUUAACCCGGGAGAAGGUGUUAGGCAUUCCCGAGUUCCGUGGUUCUAGAACAGUCGCUCAACUGUCAUAUUCGGCUUAAUUAUCUGAUUCUUAUUUAUCUGAUUUUUACAAUUAUAUACUUAGUGCAAGUCAUGAUUCUUUUAACCGCUUUUUUUUAAUUAUUAUUAUUGUUAUUAUUUACAGAGAAUUGCAACAUUGUGAAAAUAUAUCUCGAACCACGUCACAGUCAGUGUACCCGUGGUCGUUGACGCAUUUCGACUCUUUCGAGAUUUGGAUUUGGGUCGCAUAAAUGCACACCCGAGUUUAGGAAGGUAAGAUUAAUUAAGGCGCGUCCUAAAGAGAGUCUAGCAAGUUCUAAUCUUUUGGGAGGAGGCCACGGAAUUUGUUAAAUGGCCUAAUCCGAAGUCUAUCCGCUUAUUGAUCCUUUUAAUUGAGCGCCUCACAGUUUCAUAAUUUGGUUUUGGCGAGGCUCUCCCAUUUCAUUUUUAAUGGAUAUCCUAAAGCGACUACUAUUUUCUAUUUAUUUGCGUCUCUAAAGCAAAACGAAAAUCCUAUAUUAUUUACAAGUUAGUAUUAUUAGCCUAAGUUAUAAGCAUGGUAUUAAUUCCAAAAAAUGAGUACGGAGAAGGAAGGCAGUGAUAACAGCUUGGGUCCAGGCCCAACGUGCAUAGUUCAAAACUUGGGCCUGGGCCAUCUCAUUUUUAUCCUUGAGGCCUAGUGAUAAUAUCUACAUGUGUUUGAUACUAACAAAUGAAGGCAUGAACGAAAAGGUUUUCUUAAAUAGACAAGUUUUUGCCAAUUGGCUAUGCUAUUUAUCCGUUGAUCACCUACAAUAUGUUCAUUCUUCUAAAUAACAUAGGCUGGAAAUGACGAGAACAUGAACUACUGUAUCACUAUCUUUUUUAAACACUAGCAUACGAGGAAAGAGUUUAACAUUUAGACUAUUACGGAUUUUUAUUCAGCUUUACAUGACAAUUAAUGACCUGAACCUAGUGAACUAAUAACUAACAUAUAUAUACAACAUCAGAAGGUACGAGUACAACUACAAGACUUCAGGCUUUAAGGCAUCAUUUUUUAUUCAUGCUUCAAACUUUCAACUACAUUGUCUAUUUUUUAUUCAUGCUUCAAACUUUCAGCUACAUUGUGUACCAGUGUAGCUUGUGUACCUGGUAAUUUUGAAGCAAAGGAAGGAAGGAAGGAUCUGUAGUGAACAGGCAGUACAAACACAACACAACAACAGGUUCAACAGCAGAGAUUUCCAGCAAUAAUAGCAAUAAACCAGUGGCAAUAGAAGACCCAGGAAGGAUUUGAAAUCAAACAGGACACUUAAAGAAACCAACAACAAUUCCAGAAAGUCCAAACAUCAACACCAAGUGUAAGACAAUAAUACCAGAAAGCCAAUAGAGGUGAACCGGUGCUCAAACCCGAAAGAGAUGGUCUGGUAGCAGAUGGAGAAUCAGUAACACACUCAAGAAUAACCACAAGUAACUUCAAGGAGCUAAAUAGCAAUACCAAAUGAACUCUAGUAAUACUAUAUGGACUCAAAAUCAAAACAAGAGGACCAGUUACAAGAGAAGCAAUCCUUCUGAUUUUGAACACUCCAAGAAAAGCGAGCCAGAUUAAGUUUUAAAUAAAGAUCAGCCUUAAACUCUCUCCGGAUUCAAAGAAGCCCUCAGAAAAAUGCUCUCCGACUGACCCCUUUCUUUCAAAGAAAAUCCCCCUUUUAUUCCAUUCUCUCCUCUCAAUCACAUUUUCCUUUUCCGGAUAUUAGGCCUUACUGGAUAGGUAAUCAUACCUGAAUUGGUCCAUUUAAAACAAAAGUAGUCUUUCACUAAUAGUUGUCUAUUAAUUUUCCAAUGUCACUUAGAAAUGUCCCUCUUUUGUUUCUUAGUGCCCUACUUAUUACUUAGUGGCCCCAUAAUCCCAUUAGUUCAAAUUAAAGUUGUUAAGGCCCUACAGGAUAGACCAAAUAGUCAAACUAUAUUUCCUUAUUUUCUACUCCUAAAACACCCCUGGAUCCUACUGGCUGCCACUGUUCUGAUUCAGAACAUCAGAAGACAAAACUAUACCUUUAAUUUUCUAAAAUUAUCCUCUAAUUAACAGCUAUAGCCAAUCUUUAAUAACAAAAUCACAGAACUGAAUCUAUAAUUAACAUUUAAACACAAAACCAUCUACUACUGAACAAAAAUGAAUUGAAACUAAUAAGCUUAGUUUCUCACUUUGGGUACCAACAUGCUCAAUCCAAUUACAACAUUAGAAAAAGAAACAGACUAAGCAAAACUACUAAACUUGACCAAUAAUAGCCUAUUAUCAAGUUAUGUUAUCAUUCAAACAUGAAAGACUAACUGACAACUUUAUUUAAACGAUUAAAUAAUUUAUAACAUAGAUGCAAUUAAUAACAGACGAACAGAAUUAAAACAAACUAACAAGGUAAUUUCAGUUAACUUUAAUCAACCACAUAAACAACAAACACGGGAUAUACAAACGUGUCGAUUCCUGCCUUUGGGGUAAAACAAUGGACAAAAUAUGAAUUAAUUACUCGAUGAUAAACACACAGUUCAUAAAACAAGCAGAAAGAAUCAACCAAAUAAAAGGUCUACUGAAGAUGGACAGAAUUGAAAGAAGAAUGAUGGAAAAAUAAAACGGACUAAACUAACCUGCAAACAAACACAAAAUAACACACAAAUAAGAACCGUGUUAGCAGAACUAAUGAAUAGAGGCAUAUGCACAAGAGAAAGCAUACCGGCAAUUUAGCACUUGAAGCUAUUAUUCAUGUUCUUCUAAAUUCUUUCAGUUUUCAAGUGAAUUCAGUUGAUGACCUAUAAUUAAACGAUUAUAUGAAUAAUAUCAUAUGGCAAAACAAUCAAUUAACAGGGUGUAACAGGCAUGUUCUGGAUUUCAAUGGUUUAUCAGGGAACAUAAGAAUGAACUAAAUUAUUCUACGACUAAACACAUAACAAACAAUAACAGCAAAUAACAAAAAAAAUGAAUAGAAGAAAAGGACCAAACUAAAGGGUCUAUGGAGAUGAACAGAAUUGAAAGAAGAAAUAACAAUAACAGCAAAUAACAAAAAAAUGAACAGAAGAAAAGGACCAAACUAAAGGGUCUAUGGAGAUGAACAGAAUUGAAAGAAGAAAAUAAUAUAAGAAUCAAACAAAUCAGACCAGUCAUGCAAACAACAAAAAUAUAUGCAAAUAAGGAAAGAAGGAAAAAGAAGUACUUAUCUCUUAAAGCUCAAGAAC
Molecule: long non-coding RNA, 24087 nt
Filed under: Nicotiana benthamiana
Lineage: Eukaryota; Viridiplantae; Streptophyta; Magnoliopsida; Solanales; Solanaceae
Description: long non-coding RNA (NBEN_LNC032375)
Source: RNAcentral